GACGAACGCUGGCGGCGUGCUUAACACAUGCAAGUCGAACGGAAAGGCCCUGCUUUUGUGGGGUGCUCGAGUGGCGAACGGGUGAGUAACACGUGAGUAACCUGCCCUUGACUUUGGGAUAACUUCAGGAAACUGGGGCUAAUACCGGAUAGGAGCUCCUGCUGCAUGGUGGGGGUUGGAAAGUUUCGGCGGUUGGGGAUGGACUCGCGGCUUAUCAGCUUGUUGGUGGGGUGGUGGCUUACCAAGGCUUUGACGGGUAGCCGGCCUGAGAGGGUCACCGGCCACAUUGGGACUGAGAUACGACACAGACUCCUACGGGAGGCAGCGGUGGGGAAUAUUGCACAAUGGGCGGAAGCCUGAUGUAGCAACGCCGCGUGCGGGAUGACGGCCUUCGGGUUGUAAACCGCUUUCGCCUGUGACGAAGCGUGAGUGACGGUAAUGGGUAAAGAAGCACCGGCUAACUACGUG
RNAcentral lists this ribosomal RNA (468 nucleotides) under uncultured bacterium. RNAcentral's name for it is "partial 16S ribosomal RNA". It matches the Rfam family "Bacterial small subunit ribosomal RNA", at positions 28 to 507 of the family's 1533-position model. The record is from RNAcentral.